Molecule: long non-coding RNA, 1157 nt
Filed under: Cavia porcellus (domestic guinea pig)
Lineage: Eukaryota; Metazoa; Chordata; Mammalia; Rodentia; Caviidae
Description: lncRNA (ENSCPOG00000039182.1)
Source: RNAcentral
ACCAGGGAUCGAACUCACGACCGCCUGCUUGCAAGGAAGGUGCUUAUGCCGCUGAGCUAAAUCCUCAGCCCGACUUGAACUUAAUUGCACAUCACCACCGGAGAGGAGAUCCAACAGGCUUUCAGAGGAGGGAAAAACUCAAUUCAUAAAAAGUUUUUUGAAAACAAAGGUACAAAUAUAAUCAGAGUUCUCAAACCUGGAAUCUGAAAGUCCGUGGAACAAUACCUUCUGAAGGAAAAGUAUUUCCUGCCUAGAAUUCUAUACCUAAACUAUCAAGAAGUAUAAGGGAAGGGCCCAUUUUCAGACAUGCGGAGUUAAAAAAAAAAGGCACCUCCUGACCAUCCCUUUUAGGAAGCUGCUAAAGGGUAUGCUCCAGCAGAGCGAGGGAAGAAACCUAGAAAGAGUAAGAUGCAAGACAGAGUAAAUAGGGACUCCAGUACAAAAGCUGUGCCAGUGGGAAACACCAUACCAGACGGAAGUCCCAGCAGCCAGGGAACAAUGUGGCAGGCACGGGAAGCGAUGUGUGCAGACUGAAGCUGGUCAGAAGACUUCAGGGAAGAUCUAUUCCAUAGGACAGAACUGUGCUGAAAAUAUGAAGAGGAGGUUUACACACCCGGGGAAAAACGAAGGGUGCUAACGACAGAACUAAAUAAAUAGGAAGCAUUAGAAAGGUGUGACAUAGGCACAAUCAUAGUAAUGCAGACUCCAAAGGCUCCUGCACUUGUAAAAAUCAUCAAGUCACAGAGAUGGUGUGCAUCUUCACCCUGUCCCCGACCUUGCCGCAGCCCUCUCCCACCCUUCCUGUUCACCACCAAUGGCACAAGUCAGCCUCGAUGGAUCCAAAUGGCCCCUGAGUUGAAGAUCCUGCUUGGUGUCAAUCAGUCUGGCAAGCCUGAGGGACUCGGGGCUCACUAAACUGUGACAACUGGAGAGAGCCCCCAACUCUUCCCAGUCCAGUGUUACGUACCCCAGCACCUGUGUCUCUUGUUCUUGAUGGACUUGUGGUGACUGAUGGUGAGAUUUUACCCAGGAGUCUACAAAGAUUUCAGGAGCCUAUGAACUCUAGGAAUCACAGAACUCAAAUUUGAUGAGAAUACUUUGUAUUUUGUAAGGGGAAAAUUGGAAGGUUCACAGUUUUCAUCAGAUCUUCAAAGUCC